UGCAGUCGAACGGUAAAUAUUUUAGCAAUAAGAUAUGAGAGUGACGUACGGGUGCGUAACACGUAUGCAACCUACCCUUUACAGGCGGAUAGCUCGGGGAAACUCGGAUUAAGCCGUCAUAAGAUCAUAGAGUGGCAUCACAUAGUGAUUAAAACUGAGGUGGUAAAGGAUGGGCAUGCGUCUGAUUAGUUAGUUGGUGCGGGUAACGGCCCACCAAGACGAUGAUCAGUAGGGGAACUGAGAGGUUGAUCCCCCACACUGGCACUGAGAUACGGGCCAGACUCCUACGGGAGGCAGCAGUAGGGAAUAUUGGUCAAUGGAUGGAAGUCUGAACCAGCCAUGCCGCGUGCAGGAAGACGGCCUUCUGGGUUGUAAACUGCUUUUGCCAGGGGCUAAAAAGCUCAUGCGUGAGAAAUUGAAAGUACCUGGUGAAUAAGCCACGGCUAACUACGUGCCAGCAGCCGCGGUAAUACGUAGGUGGCAAGCGUUGUCCGGAUUUAUUGGGUUUAAAGGGUGCGUAGGCGGCUUUGUAAGUCAGUGGUGAAAUAUGGCAGCUCAACUGUCAGGGUGCCAAUGAUACUGCGGAGCUUGAGUACAGAUGAGGUAGGCGGAAUUGACGGCGUAGCGGUGAAAUGCUUAGAUAUCGUCAAGAACACCGAUAGCGAAGGCAGCUUACUAGGCUGUAACUGACGCUGAGGCACGAAAGUGUGGGGAUCAAACAGGAUUAGAUACCCUGGUAGUCCACACUGUAAACGUUGAUGACUCGCUGUUGGCGAUACACGGCCAGCGGCAGAGAGAAAUCGUUAAGUCAUCCACCUGGGGAGUACGCCGGCAACGGUGAAACUCAAAUGAAUUGACGGG
This 861-nucleotide ribosomal RNA is filed under the name uncultured Bacteroidota bacterium. RNAcentral's name for it is "bacterial SSU rRNA". It matches the Rfam family "Bacterial small subunit ribosomal RNA", at positions 56 to 917 of the family's 1533-position model. The record is from RNAcentral. Lineage: Bacteria; Pseudomonadati; Bacteroidota.